RNAcentral lists this long non-coding RNA (6107 nucleotides) under Lactuca sativa (garden lettuce). RNAcentral's name for it is "long non-coding RNA (LSAT_LNC004878)". The record is from RNAcentral. Lineage: Eukaryota; Viridiplantae; Streptophyta; Magnoliopsida; Asterales; Asteraceae.
UUCUUAGAAACUCCUAGAUUCUUUUGAGAUUCAAUGAACUUUUCAAAGGCAUGUUUCAAUCUCGAGUGUGCCCUCCAAGUUUUGUGACUGGGAUGUCGAGGAUCACAAAACGAGGUGUGAAGUAACCAUGCAAAUCACUUGGUACCCUUAAAGUUUAUCACUCAAUCGAUGUGCCGGUAAACCACACACGCUCCAUCGAUACUAUAAUAAACCUUAAGUCACCCUUUACCUACCUUGUUAAGUCCAAGUUAGUGUGCCGGUUAACCACACACGCUCCACCAACGACUUAAACAAAGUGUAAAGUGUAAUUUCAUGGAUUAGCACCUUAUUCACAUUUUCCCUAAAGUAACUAAGAUUGGGAAUUUAAUAAAACAUUUAGUUACUUUAUAAUAUUCAUCAUACUUUUAAUGAGAAUUUAUAAGUCCUUGUCUUACCCGUUCGGCUAACGACCCUCCACCAGUCAAGCAAGCGGUGGGUGAGAGUGGACACCCAUUAAGUUGCCAUUUUAUAGGCAACAACCUUAUACCCACCUUAUAGACUAGCUUCGUGAAUGAGGCGUACUAGCGGUAAGACGACUUUGUUCUUAUACAUAUAUAUAUAAUUAUUAAAUCAUAAUAAUAUAAGUAUAAGGGUUGAAUUUUAACUUUUAAAAUUCUAAGGGUUGGAACUAAAUUUUUAAUCAAGACUUUACUUGUUCCAAAACUUGAGGGCAAGUUUUGUAAACUUUUAAAACUUUUAAUUUCUUGUAACUUAUGAGUUAUAGAGUAUUAGAAAUGAAGACUCUUCAUUUUUAUAACCGAUGUGUUCUUUUAAAGAUUUUUAAGCAAAGUGAGUUUUGGUUUUCUAUAACUUGAGGACGAGUUAUGGACUCCAUUAAAACACAUAAUGAUCAUGAAUUAAUCUACCACAUAGGUUACAAAUAAUUUCUAUGAUCAUCUAAACAUCAUAAGAUCAAGAACAUGAAUAUGAACACUUACAUGAAUCAAAAAUUACACUUAAAACUUUGUAAUUUUGAUAACUAGUUGUUGUAAAUGGAUUAGCAAAGACAUUACACCAUCUAAAACAAGUUUUCAAGUACCAAAACAGUUUAGGGUAAUGUUCCUACUCCAUUUCCAGCAACUAAAGUCGAAAAACUGCAUUCUAAGCCUCCUACUCGCCGAGUGCAUGAACCUACUCGGUGAGUAGGUUGAAGAUUCACAUGAACUCAGGGAGUCCCCCCAUGGACUCAGCGAGUUCAUCAGGCAGACUGCACAAAAUCGACUAAUUCGAACUAUUUAGCACAAAUAGCAAACAAACAAGCCUAGUCUCUGAUACCACUUAUGGGUUUUGAGCAUUCUAACACAUCCUAAGUGUACAUGCAACCCUAAUAGCCUUGGAUCAAUGUUUGUCUAAUAAUCAUGCAAAGUUGUUUUUCCAAGGUUAUGAACCUAUCUAGCAUACAUGGGGAACAAUUUUUCUUUGUAUAAAAGAUAGAACUACAUACCUUGUUGAUGAAAGUGUUCCUUGAAACCUUGUGAGCCUAGCACCUCAAGUGUGAUGCCUCAAAUGCUUCACACAACACCAAAUGCAAAGUAUAAACUUGAGAGAAUACUCUAACACACUCAAAAUCGGCCAAGCCCUCUUGUUUCACUAAGUGUAACCGAUUUUGGGGAGAGACAUGGUCCUUAUAUAGUGUGUUGUAUUAGGUAAAACCCUAAUGUAACAUGACUCUUCAUUUCUCAAUCCAUGGGUUAACUCCAUGGAGCAUCCUAUGGGUGUAACCCAACUUCAUAAUCCAUGGAGCCUCUUAGCCCACUAUAAAAGAUAUGGAAGAUUUACAUAAUCUACCCAUAUAUUUAAUUAGUUAUCUUUUUGAUCACUUAAUUAAUUCUAAAUUAAUUCUUGAUUAGAACUAAUUAAAUAAUAUUAUUAAUAUAUUAGAACUUAUAAUAUAUUAAUAAACCAUAUGUGUUAUUUCUCUCAUUUAGUUUAUCCAAUUGCAUGGUGCCAUGCAACCCAAAUGGACCAUGUCGGGUCGGGUCAAGUACAUACCAGAAAUAGUUAUGGACUUAGACACCUUAUCCAACAGNUAUUAUUAAUAUAUUAGAACUUAUAAUAUAUUAAUAAACCAUAUGUGUUAUUUCUCUCAUUUAGUUUAUCCAAUUGCAUGGUGCCAUGAAACCCAAAUGGACCAUGUCGGGUCGGGUCAAAUACAUACCAGAAAUAGUUAUUGACUUAGACACCUUAUCCAACACAUAUAAUACCAAAAAGCUAACGGUACUCCCACUAGCCUUGACAUAUACACAAGAUUCAUCUUCAUUCCUAGAAAAGCCAAAUUCUUUAACCCAUAAAUGGAUUUCUCAAGCUUACACACUCUAUUAGGGUACUCUGUGUUGACAAAACCCUCUGUCUGACUCAUGUAAACAUCAUCAGCCAAUUUUCCAUUAAGGAAAGCGGUUUUGACAUCCAUUUUCCAUAUUUCAUAGUCAUGAAAUGCAGCUAUAGCUAACAGAACCCUAAUAGACUUAAUAUUGGCCACUGGAGAAAAUGUCUCAUCAUAAUCAACACUCGGAGUUUGUGAGAAACCCUUUGCAACCAGUCGUGCCUUAUAAGUGUGUACCUUACCAUUCAUGUCGGUUUUCUUCUUGAAGAUCGAUUUUCACCCUACAGUCUUAUGACCUGGUACACUCUCAACCAAGUUCCAAACUUGAUUGUCAUACAUGGAUUAUAUCUCGUUGUCCAUUGCCUUUUUCCAUUUGGCUGACUCAGGGCCUGCCAUGGCUUCUGCGUAACUGUUAGUUUCAUCCAGACCUAUCAGUGUCUCAUCACUGAUAAGUGUAUCACCUUCCGUAGUAAUAUGGAAUCCAUAUUAAUUCUCAGGUGCAUUCCUAACCCUUGUGGAAUGCCUUAGAGGUACAGACUUGUCAAUUGGCUCAACAGGAGUUUCCUCCUCAAGUUGAGUGAUAGCGUUUGAAGUUUCUUCACCACUUGACUCUUGAAUUUCUUCAAGGUCAACUUGCUUCCCAUUGUCUCCUUGUCUUAUGAACUCUCUCUCUCGAAAGACAACCCUCCUAGCUACAAAGACCACAUUUUCUCUAGGUCUGUAGAAGAGGUAACCAAAGGAUUGUUGUGGGUAGCCGAUGAAAAUACACAUCCCGCUUCAAGGUUCGAGCUUAUCAUGAGUCUGGCGUCUCAUGAAAGCCUCGCAACCCUAAAUAUUGAUGUGGUCUAGUUUGGGUACUUUACCAAUCCACAUCUCAUGAGGAGUUUUGGAAACUUUCUUUCUAGGGACUAGAUUAAGGAUAUGGGCGGUAGUCUCUAAGGCAUACCCCCAAAAUAAGAUUGGUAGCGAAGCUCGACUCAUCAUGGAACGAACCAUAUCCAACAUGGUUCGAUUACGCCUCUCAGCUACAUCAUUCAACUGCAAUGUCCUGGGAGGUGUCAAUUGUAAGACAAUCCCACAUUCCCUAAGAUAGUCGAGGAACUCUGAACUAAGAUACUCACCACCUCGAUCGGAUCGAAGCAUCUUAAUGUUCCUCCCCAAUUGAUUCUCGACUUCCUAUUUAAAUUCUUUAAACCUUUAGAAAGUCUCUGACUUACGCUUGAUUAACUAGACAUAUCCAUAUCUACUAUAAUCAUCAGUAAAAGUCAAAUAAUAACGAUUAGCAUCCCUUGUGGCAUCUUUGAAGGGUCCACACACAUCUGUGUGUACAAGAUCCAACAAUCCUUCACCCCUCUCACAAGAACCUGUGAAGGGUGACUUUGUCAUUUUUCCAAGUAAGCAUGAUUCGCAACUAUCAUCUGACUUUAGGUCAAAUGACUCCAAGACUCCUUCCUUUUGGAGUUGGCCUAUGCGUUUCUUGCUUAUAUGUCCAAGACGACAAUGCCAUAAUGAAGCUUUAUCCAAGUUAUUAUUAUUAUUAAUAGAAUCAAUACACAUCGCAUUAUUUCUAGAGUUAUCUACAACAGACACAGCUUCAUACACACCAUCACAAGGUAAUGCUUUAAAAUAAAGAACAUUAUUAAAGAAAGCAUUAAUCGAACCAACUUCAUUAUCAAAUGAAAAGGUGAUACCUUUUUUAUAGAACGCAUGAAAGGAAAUAAUGUUUCUUGCCAUUUCUGGCGAAUAACAACAUUUAUUCAAAUCUAAAUUAAACCCACUACUUAGUGUUAAAGUAAAAACUCCAAUCUUGGUGACAUGUAAAGCUUUCCUAUUCCCCAUGAUUAAGUUUAUUCUUCCAUGCUCCACAUUCUCACUUCUUCUUAGUCCCUGCAAAUCAGAACAAAUAUGAAUACCACAACCGGUAUCAAGGACCCAAGAGUUAGAAUGAGGUGAGUUAUUAGAUAAGAUAGUGUAAAUACCUGCAUGGUUAGGUUAAACUUUCCCAUCCUUCAAAUCUUGCUGGUAUUUUGGGCAGUUCCACUUCCAAUGUGACUUUUCAUUGCAAUAGAAGCAUUCAGCCUCUUUUGGGUAAAAAGAAGGAGUGAUGAAACCUUUCUUGGUUCCACUUAAAGAAGAGCCAUCAAGGGUCCUAGGCUUGGUACCCUUCGAAGAGCUCUUUCUCUUCUUCCCUUGACUUUUCCCGAUUGCCAAAACCGGGGCAGAGUUUGGAGUAGGAGUGUUAACAACCGACUUCCCCUUAAGACUUGUUUCUGCGGUCUUGAGAAGUCCCUGAAGUUUGCUAAGUGUGACCUCUUCCUUAUUCAUGUGAUAUGUCAUGCGGAAUUGAUCAUAGCACGAUGGUAAGGAGUGCAAAAUGAUAUCUAUUGCAAGCUCCUCAGGGAAGUUCACAUUAAGCUUCAGCAAACGAUCCACAUACCUUUGCAUUUUCUGCAUGUGGCUCGUGACGGAUUCCCCGUCCUUCAUCAUGGUUGUUAUCAUUUAGCAAAUGAUUUCAUACCUCUCAUGUCGUGCACUUUGAUGGUAUCUUUCCAUCAGAUCUUGGUGCAUUUCAAAAGGGUAGAAGUCAUCAUAGGACUUUUGGAGUUAUGUUGCCAUCGUGGCCAACAUGAUGCAUGCCACUUUGGUAGCAUCCCUUUCAUGUGUCUGGAAAUCCGCAAUCUCCUGGCGAGUUGAAGUGGUCUCAUCAAUCUCCUUAAGCUCCUUGUCAAGGACAUAUUCUUUGUCCUCGUAGCGGGUAAUCAUCCUGAUGUUUCUGAUCCACUCAUUGAAGUUGGAUCCAUCAAAGGUGACUUUCCCACACAAGUUCAUAAGGGUAAAGGAGCCAUUAGGAUUAGAGCCAGAAGCAUUGUUGAAAGACAUCUGAAGAAAAGAGAACAAGAUUAGUUUAGAUAUAAGAGAGUCCUUAAUAAAACACCCAAAUGUAAUAUUAAGGCUAGGAUCCAAUCACAAUAUAAUAUAACUUAGAAGAGGUAUGCCGUAAUCUAAGCUAUAUCAUAUUUGAAAGGUAGGUGAAUGACGAUUCACCAAUUUCCACCACGAAAACCGCAAUAUUUUAGUAUUAGGUUUUUGAAUGGUUCUUAGAAAUUCCUAGAUUCUUUGAGAUUCAAUGAACUUUUCAAAGGCAUGUUUCAAUCUCGAGUGUGCCCUCCAAGUUUUGUGACUGGGAUACCGAGGAUCACAAAACGAGGUGUGAAGUAACCAUGCAAAUCACUUGGUACCCUUAAAGUUUAUCACUCAAUCGAUGUGCCGGUAAACCACACACGUUCCACCGAUACUAAGAUAAAUCUUAAGUCACCCUUUACCUACAUUGUUAAGUCCAAGUUAGUCUGCCGAUUAACCACACACACACUCCACCAACGACUUAAACAAAGUGUAAAGUGUAAUUUCAUGGAUUAGCACCUUAUUCACAUUUUUCCUAAAGUAACUAAGAUUGGGAAUUUAAUAAAACAUUUAGUUACUUUAUAAUAUUCAUCAUACUUUGAAUGAGAAUUAAUAAGUCCUUGUCUUACCCGUUCGGCUAACGACCCUCCACCGAUCAAGCAAGCGGUGGGUGAGAGUGGACACCCAUUAAGUCACCAUUUUAUAGGCAACAACCUUAUACCCACCUUAUAGACCGGCUUCGUGAAUGAGGCGUACUAGCGGUAAGACGACUUUGUUCUUAUACAUAUAUAUAUAAUUAUUAAAUCAUAAUAAUAUAAGUAUAAGGGUUGAAUUUUAACUUUUA